GACGAGGGAUCCUAGCGUUGUUCGGAAUCAUUGGGCGUAAAGCGGGUGUAGGCGGGCUUUUAAGUCAGAUGUGAAAUCCCAGGGCUCAACCCUGGAAGUGCAUUUGAUACUGAAAGUCUUGAGUGUGGUAGAGGUUACUGGAAUUGUUGGUGUAGUGGUGAAAUACGUAGAUAUCAACAGGAAUACCGGAGGCGAAGGCGAGUAACUGGGCCAACACUGACGCUGAGACCCGAAAGCGUGGGGAUCAAACAGG
This 253-nucleotide ribosomal RNA is filed under the name uncultured bacterium. Its description in RNAcentral is "partial 16S ribosomal RNA". It matches the Rfam family "Bacterial small subunit ribosomal RNA", at positions 524 to 776 of the family's 1533-position model. The record is from RNAcentral.